AAACAGUUGAAAAGAUCGCACUGUACAGUAUUUCUCCUUAUUUUGAUGUAGAGUAUUUGUUUUUAUCUUAGGUCUCACUAAAUCUCCACUUGAGAACUGGAUAACAACGACUGGAUUUGAAGAUGAACCUAAACAGGAACCAAAUCAAACAAAUAGCUAAGUUAUUUAGAUCUUUCUGUGUUUUAAAUAUUUAAUAUUUAACUGAAAAGUUGCCAAAACAGUUCACUUAAGUAACGGGAAAAAUAAUGAUAACACAUAAAGUUUUUUUUUUUUUUUUUUUUAAAUAGGAAUGGAUAGGGGGACUUUUAUAGGGGGAAAAAACAGUGUAUUAAAUGUUACAUUGUCAUACAGUAGAAGAUAUCCUAACAGAAAACGAAUGAGCUCUAGAGGCAGGUCCUGUUUUGUCAUUCCACUGUCUGGUUGUUGCAAGAGGAAACAGUGAAGUAAAAUAAAACUCUGGUGAAUGCCAGAUUAAAAACUCAAGCAGGAAAAGUACAGUAGCAACUGCCUUCAUGUUUCAAGAGGAAACACAGCCAGUCAACUGAGGUAAUAUAAUUCUCUGGUAAAUGCCAGAUUUAAACAAAAAACAGGUGAGUAAUAUUUUAAAGCACCUCUAUUCUCUUUUGUACAACCUAUAGUUUUAUUUGCUACUGUUUAUCUUUAUUUUCUCUUCUCAAAACAAACACGGGUGAGUAAUAUUUUGCAAAGGGUUUUUUUCUGUCUGUUGUUGAACCUGUAGUUUGAAUUGUACUGUGUAUCUUAUUUGCAUUCAGUACAAUAGUGAAGUUCACUGCCUGGAGGUUACAAGAGGAAAUACAACCUUUCAGUCAAGGUAACAUAAACUCUGGUGAAUGCUAGAUUAAAAACACAAUAAAAAUAAAGGAUAUUGAUAUUUUUUGUUGAAGUUGAAGUUCCAGAUCUGCUGGAAGUUUUUUUUUUUGUUUUGUUGUUGUUUGUUUUUUUUUGUUUGUUGUUGUUUGUUUUGUUUUUUUUCAUUUACGUGAUGUUCACUGCUUGGAUGUUGCAAGAGGAAUCAUCUUCUGGGGAAAAAAACAAACAAACAGAUGUAAAAUAUAAAUGUGGUAUGUGACAGAUUAAACACAAAAAAGGGGAAAACAAUCACAGCAGGAAUGGCAACUGCUAGGAUGCUGCAAGAGAAGAUGUCGCCUGUCAAGUGAAGUAAAAUAAACUCUGGUGAAUUCCAGAUUAGAAAUAAAACAGCACAGGGAUGGCAUCAGAAUGUAGUUUUGAAGUGAAUGAUCUGGAGUGAUCUGGGUCAUGCUGGACGCAUUUCUUGUCAGAUCUGUGAGAAGACAGAAGACUGUUUUUGUUUUGUUUUUUUGCGCACACUGGUUCAUUUGACAUCUGAAGUUGGUUCAUUUGAAUGAUGUUGAUGCUGUUUUCUGAGCUCAGGUGCGCAUAUGCAAACUGUUUCUGAAAUAUUUCAGAUCUACCCCUAUUUCAAUUGAAUCGAGUUCAAUGGGAUUGACUGACGAGUUUAUGAAGGUUUUUCAGACUGAAUGAAUCAUCAUUCUGAUUAAUAAUUAGAUUAUUAGGUUGAAUUUAAAUGUAUACAGUGACAAGCCAAAUGCAUGAACCUGAAAUUGAAAUGCCUUAUCUUUAAAAGAAUUUUCAGUGACAGUGUCUGUCUUUCAGAUUCUGUUUACAAACCUCUUUUCAAGAAAUUACACUGUUUAUACAUGUAGGCUACAGUAAAAAUUAUUGGCAGUGCAUUAAGAAAAAAAAACAGAAUUUUUGAAAUCACAUUUGCUUGUCACCUUAUUUCUAAACAUGGUGUUAUGUUUUUGACCAUACAGUUCCAUUUUUAGGUGACCCUUCUUUCCCAAUCUGUACUAAACAUGCCUGUAAAACUGUGCUGAAGCUUUUAGCUGGUAUGUUGGUAUGGUUUUAAUAUUAAAGUCAUGAUUUAAGC
This is a long non-coding RNA of Cyprinus carpio carpio, 1933 nucleotides long. The record is from Ensembl. Lineage: Eukaryota; Metazoa; Chordata; Actinopteri; Cypriniformes; Cyprinidae.